This 699-nucleotide small RNA is filed under the name Rattus norvegicus (Norway rat). RNAcentral's name for it is "uncharacterized LOC103691468". Lineage: Eukaryota; Metazoa; Chordata; Mammalia; Rodentia; Muridae. The record is from RNAcentral.
CAUGGGUGUUCCUGUGUAUAUUCCUAACAUAGACGGACAACUUGAUCAGUCUGUACACUGUCCCAAGUAAGGCUGAGCCCUGGUAUUGGAUUCGACAUUUAUUUCCAGAAGAGACCUUUAACUUGAAAGGCUGAUUUUAUGACAAAUUCCGCCUUUCUGAAAAGGAUCAACUUCUCAUUUCGAUCAUGAAGGUCAGCAUCGAUAGUGUCCCAGGAGACAGCAGCAACAGGGUAAAGCAAAUGUCUUGAGGCAAGAUCCUGCAUCCGGGAGCAGGGACCAGCUUCUCUUCAGAAAGGAGCUGUGCACCUGAAAAAUGGAGCCUGAAAACAGAUUUUUCAGGGACAUUAAUGACCUCACAUGGAGAAUUUGAAUUCUCAUGGCAAUGUCUUCCACUCAGGCAGAGGUCAAAGAAGCUUUGAGGAAGCAAGGAGGUUGAGAGCAGAGUUGCACCAGGCCGUUCAGAAAGCACAUCUUGAAGAGAUCUCCUGGCUCUAGAGGAAGUAAGGCAUGGAACCAGAGAUAACCUGGGAACUUGGGAACUUGCUGGUGUUUCAGUCCUCAGAGAGCUGAAGGAAAUAUCUGGGUACCCAGAUGUGGUGGUGGACCCACUGGACUUCCCAAUGCAUGCACCCUGAUUGCAAUUGAUAGCAUAUCAACAUGGAAUCUUCGUAAUUUUUAAUAAAUAUAUUGGCUCAUUUA